Molecule: ribosomal RNA, 253 nt
Filed under: uncultured bacterium
Lineage: Bacteria
Description: partial 16S ribosomal RNA
Rfam family: Bacterial small subunit ribosomal RNA
Source: RNAcentral
UACGUAGGGUGCAAGCGUUGUCCGGAAUUAUUGGGCGUAAAGAGCUCGUAGGCGGUCUGUCGCGUCUGCUGUGAAAACUCAGGGCUUAACCCUGAGCUUGCAGUGGGUACGGGCAGACUAGAGUGCGGUAGGGGAGACUGGAAUUCCUGGUGUAGCGGUGAAAUGCGCAGAUAUCGCUUGGAACGCCAAAGGUGAAGACAGGUUGCUGGGGGUGUACCGACGCUGAGACGCGAAAGCCAGGGGAGCAAACGGG